AUAAGGAAAGCAACACCCGAAAGGCGUAGAGCUACUCCGGUGAGAGAUCACGGGGAGAACUCGAAGCCUGCGGAUCAGCAACUCUGGCCGGCCAGAAACCGGAAAGGGAAUUCCGGUCCGGGUUCGGGUUCAAACCUGUUGUCUAGGAGCUUUGAUUAUAGUGGUGAAAGGAAGGAUUUUGGAUCUGGGGCAGUGCUGGCUAAGUCACUGCAACAAUCAAUGAUGUUUGAUGAGAGUAGCAGAAGGGUUUCUUUUGAUGGUGGUAGUAGAUUGAGUUUAGAUUUGGGUAGCUCCGAGUUGUUAAAAGAAGCUAAUAAGCUAAACCCAGAUUCCAAUUCUUUAAUUGAGACUUCUAAUGAACUCACUGCAUCUGAUACAGAUAGUAUAUCAUCUGGGAGCACCAAUUCUGGAACUGGAAGAAGUGGGAAUUUGAAAGGGAAGAAUGGACCCCGUAAUAUUGUUGUGUCUGCAAGGUUUUGGCAGGAAACUAAUAGCAGGUUGAGGCGGUUGCAGGACCCGGGUUCACCUUUGUCUUCGAGCCCAGGGUCUAGAAUUGGUUCACCAGCUAAGUUUAGUCAACCAAGAAGGGUUUCUUGUGACAGUGCAGUGGCUUCUCCUAUUAGGUGUAGUAUAAGACCUGCUUCUCCUAGUAAGCUUUGGACAUCUUCGGCUUCGACUCUGACUCCGUCGAGGGGACUAAGUCCUGGUCGAGUUAGAAAUGCAGUUAGUGGUAAAGAGAUGAUUAGUAAUGCUGUUAAUACCCCUUCGAUUCUUAGCUUUUCCGUUGAUAUUCGGAGAGGGAAGAAGGGAGAGGAUCGAAUUGUUGAUGCUCAUACAUUGAGGCUUUUUUAUAACGGUUACUUGCAAUGGAGAUUUGCAAAUGCAAGGGCGGAUGCAGCUUUCAUUGUGCAAAAACUGAGUGCUGAGGUAUGGUUAUCCUGCCUUCUCAUUGCUCUUAAUACGUUCAAUGUUCUUGUAUGCUUAUGUGUAUUUGAUGAAUUCUUCAACUUAUUUCACCAGUUUUAGUUUGGCAAACAAGCUGAACCCAACUAGUUUAUGGUAAAGGUUGCCUAUAAUGCAAGUGGCAGCUUAGUUCUUGCAAUAUGGUACUCCUUGGAGAGUAUCAUGUAGUCUUCUCCUAUAUGGUAUCACAUGAUUUGUUUACGUGCUACUGCUACAUAAAUUACCUGUAGUUCCUAAGGAAAGCAUGUCCAUGUCCAGUUGUCCUUUUUAUAUUUGCUAAGAGAUUAAAUUUAAUGACGGAAGGAUCUUGAGGCAAUAUAUUGUCAUACUUUUGAAUAGUAAAAUCCUUGAUGUGAUCGAUGAUUGGUGAGUUGGCUCCAUUCUGAAGGUAAGAGUUAGUACUCUAGGCAGCUUUGGCACAGUACUUAUCGGCUCAAGAUGAUGCAAAAUCAUUGAGAAAUACAUACUUAUGAAUGUUAUAUAUAUACACAUACAUAUGUGUAUGCAUAUACUGUUGUAAAUUUGCUUAGUGGAAUGUGUUGUGGACUUAUUGGAAGAAGGCAAAUUAAAGAUAUGCCUGGCGAGGAAUUAUUUAAAUGUUUUUGGGUUCAAUUAGUGUCUGUCAUAAACUGGACAUGGUGCUCUUAAUCUGUUCUUGGCAAGAGAUAAGUGAACUACGCUGACUGUAUUUUCAGUUAAAAGGGCCUAUUUAAAGAUUUACUGGUAGAAUAGAACUAGUGCCCUGCUUUUUAAAUUCUUCAGGAUGUCAUCACUUCUCUGGUAACAGCCUAUAUAAUAAACUGGAAUUUUACUAACCGUUUGCUGUAAUUAUCAGUUUGAUAUUAAAAAGAAAACAAUAAUCAUGAGUUGAGGUUUAACAUGAUGGUUGAUAAUAAAUCUGGUUUGUUCACCUCUAAUGUUCCUUCACUUGUAUCAGAAAAAUCUGUGGAAUGCAUGGGUAACAACUUCGGAACUGCGGCAUUCUGUGACCCUGAAGAGAAUAAAGUUGCUACUGCUGAGGCAAAAGUUGAAAUUAACUUCCAUCUUGAAAAGACAAGUAAGAUUCAAAACUUCAAGUUUCUCGAAGUGUUAAACUUAAUCCUUGUAGACUCUUUCAUAGACAAAACUGUUUUUAACUAUCUGAUUAUAGCUUUACCUUCAUAUUAUCAUAUCAUACACGUAUUUCAUGUCUGUAUCCAUGCUUUCAUUAAAAGAAAAAAUGACUACAUUGUUAGGAAUUAAUAUGAUGAGAAUGAAAUCAUCAAUCUAGGAUCUGGUCUUAUAAUGAGGAAUUCUUUAGUUUCUUUGCCUGGCCCUUAAUAUUUAAUAAUCCACUUAGAUACCUGCUUUGAAGUAGUUAAAAUUCACUUGCAUAAAAUGAGUAGGUGCUCAAAUAAUUGGUACUAAUUAAGACAUAAAACACAGAAAAAUGGAAAACUAGAUGUACUAUUCUUGUUGACUGUAGAGAAUGGGUCAGUGUUUGAGUUUUUUAAAAUUUCGUGCGCCUUCUGGAGUUAAGAGGAAGUCAGAAAGAAAAUGAGUGAAUAAGAACCCAAGGAAAGUUAGAGAAGAAAAAUUGUGUACUUUAUAUUUCAUUCCGAAAGGAAAAAAUUCGAACCUCAGUUCUUACUGCAUACUUGUUAGAACAGACCUGUCCUUUCUAUUCUCAGUUACAAGAUGCUGGCUUUUAUAGCAUGAAUUCUCUUCUUGACUUAACUUUUUUGUAAUUGGUGAGUGUAGAUAGCUCAUUUAGAAGCAUGGUCCCUCCUCGAGAGAGACCACUCUAGCUCUUUGCUAGGAGCAACUGAAGCUUUAAAGGCUAGUACUCUUCGACUUCCAAUUGUUGGAAAAGCAACAGUAAGUUUCUUCCUUAUUCUUUUCUUUUCCCGUAUUUUCCAUAUACGAUGUGUUGAUGAUUCAAUUCGUGACUAUAUCAUAGUUUAAAAUGUUGUUCGUUUCUCUUCCCUUUCUCUGUUCUCUCAUAAUAGGCUGAUAUCCAAAAUCUGAAGGAUGCAAUCAGUUCAGCAGUUGAGAUGAUGCAGGCAAUGGCAUCUUCAAUAUGCUCACUGUUGUCAAAGGUAAAAUUCAUUAAUUCAAUCUCAUGGGCAUUAGUCUUCCAAAAUAAAAAUCAUCGAGUUGUUUUAUAUGGUAAUUAUUUGUAAUAGUUCAGUUCUCUACAGGCUGGUUGUAUCUUGUGGUGGCCUGAUUGCGGCUCAUCAAUAAAAGGGCAAAUCUACCUGAUUAUCUAAAUCUUAUUUGUCCCUUGCAGGUGGAGGAAAUGAAUUCUUUGGUAGCAGAACUUGCGAGCUUGGCUGCAAAGGAAACUGUUUUGCUUGAACAUUGUAAGGAUUUUUUGUCUGCAUUAGCAGCCAUUCAGGUAAAUACGGUGUUCUGUUUUAUGUUCCAAGCUUUUCUCAGCUUUCAUCUGCUCAUGUGGCUCAUUAGAAGUCUUUUCAACAGGUUAAGGACUGUAGCUUGAGGUCACAUAUAAUACAACUAAAGUGUGUACCUGCGACCAACAACCUGACCACACUUGUGUAGAACUGAUCUUAUUUGACAACUCACCCUAAACGCUAACAUUACCCCCAAGCUUAUGUUUCUUACAGUAGGCAGAGGCGGCACCGGACAAAAUCACGGCAGACUGAAUAUAUCUAGGUUUGGCUUCUCUCAUUUUAGCAGUUCUAGAACCAGUUGUUGUCUUUCAUGAUCAAGUGGCUUAUCCUCUCAACUGAUUUCUCAUUUCUGUAUACAAGAACCCCAUGAUUUUUUGGUUUUUUUUCCCACUUUUUAGGUAAAAGAAAGCAUUGUAUAUAUAUGUAAGUUCAUCUGAUAACCUAUUAUUAUGUAUUUCUUGAUCUACACUGAUUAAUCAUCUAAGAAUGAUCUUGUUGAUGCCUGUUAAAUCAUAUACUGCCCUUUUCCAUCGUCUCUAAUGUCAUUGAACCGCAUACACAUUGAUGUGGUGUUGCAUGAUUCGAGUGCACAAAAACAAAUCAUGUUUCCUAUCUGAAUUGAUUAAGCCUUGUUGAGGAAACAGCUAUAUACCCCAUUCAAGAACUGUGAAGGGGGCAAUUUCUGUCUAGAGGAUGGAGCAAAUACCAUAUUAGUGUUUCAGUCAUGCUGGUAUUUGUUUUGUUUUCCUACUUAGGCUAUCUCAAUCUAGGAUCAGGGCGUGCCACUAGUUUCAUAGAGGGCUGAUAGUUGUACUUGCAUAGUAUCCAUCAAAUGAUAUAUUGCUGAUGAGAAUCAAAUGUUGGUGCUUGUUCAAUCAAUUGGAUCAACCUAACCCUUGGUUGACAGGAUUUACCAUUUUCAUUUCAUUUUACUUUAGAAAUAUGCCAAUCAGCCUGGCAUUCACCAUGUCAUUUUCCUUAUGAAUGUCAAAAGGGGUACUAAUGACCAUUGGUUUUAACUUUUUCUAUGCCAAAAUGAGGUGAAAGAGACACCUAGUAUGGCACAAAGUAAAAGAACAAGGUUAGGCCUUAAGUUGAUGUUGACCACACAAAUAAUGCCUUAGAGGGUGAGGGAUUCACCAUUGUUUUUUGAGUAAUGAAUAUAUAGAAAUAAAAGAGAAACAAGGUUUAGGAAAGGUGGCUUAAUUGAGCAGCAAUAUUUCAGCAGAGUUACAUGAGGUUGAGUGUUUUAUGGUGGAGCAAAUAUUAGUAUUAUGAUCUUUAGCUACCACUUUUGAGGCCAUAUCAAAAUCAAACCUUUAAAAUGGGUCGAUUAAGGCUAAAGCCAUUUCAGACAUGCUCAAAUAAAGAUUUUGACACACUUUAUUAGCUGUUUUUUUUUUCCUUUAAAAUUCAGUGAACUCACAUAUAAUAAUGUCCCAUUAUAUGAUUUAAUAAAGUAUUAAAUUGUAUGGGUUUCUAGAAGGGAUAAAUCUCAAAAUUAUAUGUGAACUUUGAUUUUAUAUGCAAUUAUUUUACAUGAAUUUUGAUUUUGUGUAAUUUUAUAACAUCAGUUUAUGUUUAUAUAUUGCAUAAGAAAUAAUUUUAUUUAUUCAAUAUAAAAAUAAAUUGAUGUAUUUAUUUUUUUAAACGCGUAUGAUUGAAUUAAAAUUAAGUUUCAUGUAUAUAUUCGAACCGCAAUCAAAGUUUCAUGUGUAUAAUUACAUUAAAUUAAAAUUCAUAUAUACAAAUACACAUUAAAAUAAAGUUUAUGUAUUCAUCUCUUUCUAAGUUAGAAUGUAGGUUGUUCUUCUCUUCCUUCCAACUGAGAAAGUGAAUCUUUCUUUUGUCUGCCUUGUGCUUCCACCAAAAAUUUCGGACAGCUUUGUCAAUAGAAUUACAAACAUUUAUAGGGCCGUGCGGAUUUGAUUACUGUUCAUUUUCCACCCGGUUAGAGGAAUCUCGCUCUUCAAUUCUGAAUCUGCCUUGGAUUUUGUCAAAAACGGAUGGGAAAAACUUCUUCUACGACAAGAAAUAAAGACUUAGCUCCAUUCAUCGAUUCAUUUUUUAUUCACAUUUAGGCCCAUUUAGAGGCAACAUUCCUUUCACAUUUUAACCAAGCAACUUUAUUUAUGCUUAUUUUAAUACAUAUCAUAUUCAUGAAACGAUAUUGCAUUAAUAAUAAACACUUAGUCCUUAGUAAACUCUAGCGGAAUGAGACUCAUAUAUUUACGAUUCUAAAUGAUCACAUCACACAUAUUCCACCAAUUAUGCAUCCAACUAAUGACCCAAGAUGCACUAAAGUGCUAUGGUGUAAGGCAUCACAUCGGUGUUCCAAAGCGCACACACUAAUCCUUAUGGCAUGCCAAUUGUAUCUUAAUUGCUCUACUAAGCUUACUAGAUCAGCUUACUUAUUUAAUUAAUUAAAAUCGAUGUCACAUGAUGAUUCUCAUGCACAUAUACACGUCACAUACACAUAUUCACCGAUUUUUAUUUUUAAACUCUUAUCGUUCUUCAAUUACCAAAUUCACUCUUUAAGAGCUCAUAAAACCAUUCAUUAACAAUUUAUACUCUUUUCACUUAUUCACUUAUCACUUAGGUGAAUUAUAUCACUAAUUCACAUUCAUAUAUAUAUAUAUAUAUAUAUAUAAAUAUGUCAAUAUGCAUUUCUCAACAAGGUAUUUUAGCCAUUACUUCACAAUUUCUCUAGCAACAUUUUACAUAUAUUAUCACUAUAUCUCAUUCUCAAUGCUCAAUACAACAUUUAAAUUUGCAUCUUAUGUAACACAUUUCUCAUUUUUCAGUUUCCACAAUUUAUCACAUCUUCUUCGUUGUAUUGCAUGGCUAAUUUUUUGCUAAUUUAUGACAAUUAAUCACAUUUUAUUAUUUUUUAAGAACACCUUUUUUACUCAAUAUACUACUGACAUUAAAAUUUUCAUAACACUUUAAUAGUUCUUUUUUUUAUGUAAUUAAAGUCAAAGCUUAUUACUACUGGAAUUUUCUUGCUAUUAAUGACAAAUUUCAAGCCAUGGUUUUUCACAUAAUAAUACACAUAAUCACUUCAACCCUUCAUUUUACUAAUUAUUCAAACUCGUAAUUAUGUUAUUUAAGAGAAAGAAAAUUCAAGUAUACUUACCUAGGUAAUCAUUAACAAAACAAGGCUUCUCUCUAACCCUUCAUUUUCACUUUCUCCAUGCUUGGAACCCUUCUCUCCUCUUCUUUCUCUUUUUCUCCACCCAACACAAGAAUAUACUCAAGUUAUCAAAGCAUGCUCAUCACGUUUUAAACACAACCUUAAAUAAAGAAGGUGAAAAUUCUGAAAAACAUGUUUCUUACCUUUACCGAAACUUUCUCUCUCUAGUCGAAGUUUUCUCUUUCUAAACCAUGAAACCCUAGACUUUAAUGAAGAAGAUGAUGGCAGGAAUGGGUUGAUUUAAAGAGGAGAUGAGAAGAAUGAAAAGAGACCUUUUUUUUUCUCCUACAAGAGAGGGAGGGGCGGCACACUUUAGUAGGAGAGUUCAAAUUUUGGUUAAAAUCGAAUUAACCGAUUGAACUUAUCUAAUUUGGUUAAUCGGCUGGUUAACCGAUUUAGUUCAGACAGUCGAUUAAAAGUUUUUUAAAAUUUCAUAUUCGAAGUUGCGAUCGGAUCGAUUCUUUUUAAUAAAUCAAUUCAAUACAUUUCUUAUGUACCCAUAGGUGCUAUAUUGGAUUUGAAAACGGUUAAUUCGAUUCUAAAUCGAGUAAUUAAAUAAAUUAACUUAACUUAAUAAAUAAUAUUAUAUAUUAUAUGUAUUAGACUAUAACUAAUUCUGUUAACUCAGUUAAUUUAGAAAAUUCAGUCAAAUGAACAUUAUCCAUUAUUUUUUUGAUAUGUUUUAGACUUGUUUUAACAAAAAAAAACCCAAAACAUAUAAAUUUUGAUUAAUUCGGUUAACCGAAAUAUAUCAGUUCGAUUAAUUUUUUUGAAAAAAAUUUAGUUCAGUUAAAAUAUUAAUUUAAUUAAUUUUAAUUCGAUUCGGUUAACCGUUUGAACACUCUGGGGAAAUCUCAUCUUUCUGUUCUCAUUUAUCCCAUUUUAAAAUGGGUGGUCAAAAGUCAAAGUCAAAAGUCAAAUGAUUUUAUACUCAUCCAGUGGCCACAAUCAAACCCAACAAUUUAAUAUCUCAUUAUUAUAAUAUUUUAAACACAAUUUCAUGAAAAAAUAUUAAAAUACUUUUUUUAUGAAAAAAUUGCACUUUAACCCUUUUUAUCACUUUUACAUUUUUUUUUAUUUCCAUUCACGACACUUAACAAAUCAAGAUUUCCAUAAUUCAUACUUAUCAUCCAUAAUUAUUGAUUAUUCAUGUAAAAAAUUACAUUUACGUCAUUUUUCAGUAAAAUGGAACAAUUACAAAUUAGACCCUAUACUCUUCACUUUCAUUCAAGUUAGUCCAAUCGAGGCUUCCUUUAACACUAAUGUAUAUUUGAUGUAAUCCUUCGUGCUGCUGAGAAUUCAAGGGUAUAUGGGUAGCUGUUGAAAUUGGAGGUUUAUACAAAUAUGCGUUGAAAACAAGGGAAAUGGAGAUUUUAAGAGACAUUGAAAAUAGACCUUCCAUCUUUUUUAAUUUAUUUUUUAAUUUAAUUUAAUGGGUUUUAACUUUGCUUCCAAUAAUCACAAGCCAUUUUUCUUGUCUUCUGACUUUAAUUUUUCAUAAUAACAAUAAUAAUAUAUUUGGAGUUUUUUUUGCAAUAAUUUUCAUUUGAUACCAUCAACUUCUUUGUUGCUUGGAAGCUUUUUUCAUGUCCCUCCUCUUUCUGUCUUUGAUAAUUCUUAUUUGCUGUUUGUUUCUCGAGAAAGUUUAUAGAUAUAUAUUGUUUGAUAUUGAAUUUCAUAUCUUUUUACUCUAUUAAAGAAGUUAAACCUCAUACUUUAAUUUGUCAAAAUUUUGACAUUCCCACUUCAAAACUUUAAGAAGUUAAUCUAAGGGUAAACUAUUAAAAUAGUCACUUUUGUUUGUUUCAGAUUACAUUUUAGCCACUUAUGUUUGAAAUGUUACGUUUUAGUCACUUACGUUAUCGUGUUGUAAUAUUUUAGACACGUUAAAUAAUCAUUUCAAACAAAAAUUUUAGGUUAAAUUAUACAAUUGGUCACUAUAUAUAUUUUUUUGGUUUGAGCAAUUUAAUAUUUUCUUUUAUGUUUUUUAACUUUAUUUUUCUUUAUUUUUCAUUCUCUUCUGCUACUCCCUCUAUUUUCCUCACUUCUCUAUUUCUUUUAACAUAGUUUUUCUAUGUUUUCCAUCUGUUAAAACUAGUCCCUAUACUUUUAUUUUUUUGAACAUUUUAAUUUUUUUCUUUUUAUUUCUUUAUUUGUUAAAGAAAAAUAUCCUUGAUUACAUAGAAAAACUACGUUAAAAGAAAUGGAGAAGGGAGGAAAACAUAGGAAGAAGCAAAAGAGAAUAGAAAAUAAAGAAAAAAAAAAUAAAGUUAAAAGAACAUAAAAGAAAAGAAUUAAAUUGCUUAAAACGAAAAAAAUAUAGGGACCAAUUGUAUAAUUUAAUCUAAAAUUUUCAUUUGAAAUGAUGAUUUAAUGUGUCACGUAACAUUUCAAAUAUAAAUGACUAAAAUGUAACCUGAGGCAAACAAAAGUGAUUAUUUUGAGAGUUUACCCUUAAUCUAAUUAUCGAUAAAAUAUGAAUUUAAAUUGCUGAUUUUCAUUAUUUGUUUUAUAUAAAUUGUCGAAUUGGAAAUGUUUAAUUCAUUACAUAUAGAUUGUUGAACUAUUGAUUUUUAUGUAAGCGAUUUAAUGAUAAGGUUUAACAAGGUUACCGAAUUGAACAAACAUCUUACGUUUUAAAAGGAAAGAGGAUCAAAAUGUAAUAAAUUGAAAUAGAAUGACAUAAAAUAGAAUUAUGAAAUUUUUCCUUCCCUACAAAAUAUGGAACUUAGAUCUCAAUCUAAUCUCAAUAAACAUUUGAACCUAAUCAUUGGUUUAGGGUUUAUGAAAGUUUAAUUUAACGUAAAAUAGAUCGAGAGAUUGUGAAUUGUAGCAAAAGAUCUUAAUCUUAGUUGUAAAGAUUUUAUUCUCAUUUUAUUUUGAAAAUUUUGUGAUAGUUUUUUUUUUAAUUUAAAUUUAUAAAUGUUAAUAUAAAAUGUAUUUUAAAAAAAUAUUUAUUUUAUUUCACAAGAUAUAACGAGCCAGUAAUUAAUCUUUUGUAUUCUGUUGGUUGAUAGAUGAAUAAAAAAUUAGAAAUAAGUUUAAAAAAAUUUGAAUUGAAAAGAUGAUGUAUGCUUGUAGUUAAAGUUGUAGGAUAAUUUUAAAAAAACCGAACUUGUAUCCUCUUGUAGGACGUUGUUAUGGGUAAAAGUACUAUGGAGUAUACUAUAUUAGGAUUCUUAUUAUAUUUUGCCUUUUUCUAUAAAAAACGAACAAAUUAAUAUUUGUGCAUUAGGUCAAAGAGCAAACUAGUCUUUUAUUUAAAAAUUCAUUUACUUUUUUUGUUAAGUGCUGACGCUGCUGAUAGAACAUCUAGACAGUGACACUUGGCGUGCUAUGUGUACCUCAUGUUGAUAUUGAUGGAUUAAUUCAAGCAACUAGAUAGUAAUACGCCAUCACUUAAUAAUAGAAAUUGAAGAAAUUUUUAAUAGAAUGACCAACUUGUUCUUUGAUAUAAUGUACAUGCCUAAUUUGUCCAUUUUUUUACUAGAGAGGGCAAAAUACAAUUCAACUUUUAAUACAAAGGUCUCCAUGGUGCUUUUAUUGUCAUUAUCCUUUAUCAAAUGUCAAUAAUUUUAACAAAUAACUAGGAGGCCAUGUUAUGGGAAUUGAUUGCAUAUUGUCUAUUCUACAUAAAAAAACAGAUCAUUAUAUAUAUAUAUAUAUAUAUAUAUAUGUAAUUAUCUAGUUAUUCGUUAUACCAAUUUUUAACCGGAGAAAUAGAAUUCUAGAGGGACUACUUUGGUAAAGAAAACAAAAUAUAAAAUCUAACUCUAUGAUGAGAUAAUCAAAUGAGAAGACAUUUGUGAAUGAAUUUGCAUAUCAUUUACACCAUAAUGUACCAUUAUAGAGAAAGAUUAAAGUCUAAGAAAUUUGGUAAUUUAAUUAAUUAACCUAACAUCUUACAAAAGAUUCAUAAAAGCCCAAAGCCAAAAAUAGCCCCAGCUGAAUCUCUCUCCCUCUCUUCUCUGUUAUUCUCCCAAAUCUCACCACACCCAACCUUCUCUUCUCUGAAAACCCAGAAAAAACCUCUGUGUGUUUCACAACUUUUAACUAUUGUUGAAGUUAAAAUGGAGAAUCCUUCAAAAACCCUUUAUGGGUUCACCGCCAUUCUCCUCAAAAUCGCCUAAAAAUCCUCUUUUCCCCCAGGUUUUCAGCCAUGGAAAUGGUGACUCAUUAACGAAAGUUUCUUUCAAGGCAAUGUGGAAAACAACGUAGAUUCCUUUGCAGUCUCUGAUGAUGGUGGCUGCAUUGUCUCGUCCACCAACUCCUUCACGCCCCACUGUUGAACCACAGAAAGAAACAAAUAGUACCCAUCAAAAGCCCCCUCUCAAAGGCAAUGGCUCCACUGUUACGAGAAAGUCCAGAGGACGACAAGUUUCUUCAAGGUAUUUGUCUCCUUCUCCUUCAUCGUCUUCUUCCACUUCUUCUACUUCAUCGGCGGCCAAACCAACGGCGAGAUUUCCUUCGCCCCUUAUAUCUCGUUCCACUAAUACUAUGUCGACGGGGAACAAAGCAGCUGCGAGAUUCCAUUCCCCGCUUGUUUCUCGUUCAACGAAUGCUAGUACGACGUCGUCUUCGCUUCCUAAACGGUCUCAAUCCGUCGACCGGAGGCGGCCGGGGAGUCAAUUGCCGCCGGGAAAUAACAAUGCUAAUGGCUCCACGGAAUUGUCAGCAGCUACCAAGAUGUUGAUUACUUCAACGCGAAGUUUGUCGGUUUCGUUUCAAGGCGAGUCCUAUUCGCUUCCGAUCAGUAAGGCUAAGGCUCAAGUGGGUUCUACUCUGAUAAGGAAAGCAACACCCGAAAGGCGUAGAGCUACUCCGGUGAGAGAUCACGGGGAGAACUCGAAACCUGCGGAUCAGCAACUCUGGCCGGCCAGAAACCGGAAAGGGAAUUCCGGUCCGGGUUCGGGUUCAAACCUGUUGUCUAGGAGCUUUGAUUGUAGUGGUGAAAGGAAGGAUUUUGGAUCUGGGGCAGUGCUGGCUAAGUCACUGCAACAAUCAAUGAUGCUUGAUGAGAGUAGCAAAAGGGUUUCUUUUGAUGGUAGUAGAUUGAGUUUGG
RNAcentral lists this long non-coding RNA (11611 nucleotides) under Gossypium raimondii (Peruvian cotton). RNAcentral's name for it is "long non-coding RNA (GRAI_LNC010272)". The record is from RNAcentral. Lineage: Eukaryota; Viridiplantae; Streptophyta; Magnoliopsida; Malvales; Malvaceae.